RNAcentral lists this ribosomal RNA (1284 nucleotides) under Psylliodes cupreatus. RNAcentral describes it as "16S ribosomal RNA". The stretch from base 1074 to 1232 matches the Rfam family "Archaeal large subunit ribosomal RNA", at positions 2542 to 2701 of the family's 2987-position model. The record is from RNAcentral. Lineage: Eukaryota; Metazoa; Arthropoda; Insecta; Coleoptera; Chrysomelidae.
UUAAAAAGUUAAUUGUUAAGUCAAUUUAAUUUGAAAGUUAUAUUUUAUUGGUUGUUAUAAAUAUUUUUUGUUUUAAAAGAAAUAAAUUUUAAUUUAUUAUUAUAAAGAAAAAUUUAAUUUAAUGAUAGAGUAUAGUAUUGUGAAAGAAAAAUAUAAAUUAAUAUAUAAGAAAAAUUUUUUUUUUGUACCUUGUGCAUCAGGGUUUAUUAAAAAUUAAUUUAAUAUUAAAUAAUCUCGAAUUUAAAAGAGCUAAAAGUUUAAAAUUAAUAUUGUGAAAUAAUUAUAUUAAAUAAAUUUUUUGUAAUGAAAUGUUAUUCGUUUUUAAAUAUAUCUAGUUUUUUAAGAAAUAAAUUAAAUUUAUUUAUUAUUAAUAUUUAAUUUUAUAGGUAAUUAAAUAUUAUUAAUAUUUAAUAUUUUUGGGGAUGAGCUCAAAAAUAAAUAUUUAUUAAAAUUUAUUUUUAUAUAAAAUAUUUUAGGAUUAUAAAUUUCCAUAAUUUAAAGUAUGUUAUAAUUUAUUUUUCAUUUUUAUAAUUUUUAUUUUUUAUAAAUUUUUUAUUAAAAUGUAUUUUUUAAUAAUAAAAAAUUAGUAAUAAUGAUAAAAUUAGUAUAAUUUAUUAUAUGAAUAGUAUAAAAUUUUAGGUUUAUAUAAGGAAUUCGGCAAAUUAUUUUUCACCUGUUUAUUAAAAACAUGUCCUUUUGUUUAAAAUUUAAGGUCUAGCCUGCCCACUGAUAUAUUUAAAUGGCCGCGGUAUUUUGACCGUGCUAAGGUAGCAUAAUCAUUAGUUUUUUAAUUGAAAGCUGGAAUGAAGGGUUGAAUGAAAAAAUAACUGUCUCUUAUAAAUUUUAUUAGAAUUUUAUUUUUAAGUUAAAAAGCUUAAAUUUAUUUAAAAGACGAGAAGACCCUAUAGAGUUUAAUAUAAUUUUUUAUUUUUAUGUAAAGAAUUUAUUGUUUAAAUAAACUAUUAUAUUUAAUUGGGGUGAUUAAAAAAUUUAAUAAACUUUUUUUUUAUAUUUAUAUAAGUUAAUAAGUAUUUGAUCCAAACGUUUUGAUUAUAAGAAUAAAUUACCUUAGGGAUAACAGCGUAAUUUUAUUGGAGAGUUCUAAUCGAUAGUAAAGAUUGCGACCUCGAUGUUGGAUUAAAAUUUAUUUUUGGUGUAGGGGCUAAAAAAUUAAGUCUGUUCGACUUUUAAAAUUUUACAUGAUCUGAGUUUAAACCGGUGUAAGCCAGGUUGGUUUCUAUCUUUAAAAAAUUAAUUUAUUUUAGUACGAAAGGACCAAAUAAA